Small RNA from Treponema denticola ATCC 35405, 101 nucleotides. It matches the Rfam family "TD-2 RNA". Rfam says of the family: non coding RNA found in Treponema denticola Lineage: Bacteria; Pseudomonadati; Spirochaetota; Spirochaetia; Treponematales; Treponemataceae. The record is from Rfam.
GCGGACAGGAUGUCCGCCUGUAUAAGCUGUACGAGUUUUUUGCGUAAGCAAAAACACUCGAAGAUGAAAAAUGUACUUUGGAUGUACAUUUUUCAUCGGUC